Molecule: ribosomal RNA, 253 nt
Filed under: uncultured bacterium
Lineage: Bacteria
Description: partial 16S ribosomal RNA
Rfam family: Bacterial small subunit ribosomal RNA
Source: RNAcentral
GACGGAGGGGGCUAGCGUUGUUCGGAAUUACUGGGCGUAAAGCGCACGUAGGCGGCCUUUCAAGUCAGAUGUGAAAGCCCCGGGCUUAACCCGGGAAUUGCAUUUGAUACUGUUAGGCUUGAGACCGGGAGAGGAUAGCGGAAUUCCCAGUGUAGAGGUGAAAUUCGUAGAUAUUGGGAAGAACACCAGUGGCGAAGGCGGCUAUCUGGACCGGUACUGACGCUGAGGUGCGAAAGCGUGGGGAGCAAACAGG